RNAcentral lists this unclassified non-coding RNA (404 nucleotides) under Hevea brasiliensis (rubber tree). The record is from RNAcentral. Lineage: Eukaryota; Viridiplantae; Streptophyta; Magnoliopsida; Malpighiales; Euphorbiaceae.
AAAUUAUCCCGUCCCCUACGAUGCAGUUAUUCUUUAUAAUAAACCUUUUGUCAAGUAAGACAAAUUUAUAAUUUCUAAUGUUGUAGACCCACCAAUUGAAGCAUUUUUGUUUAACCUACACUAGAUAGUUCAAUUGACAAGGACUUUAUUUUGUGAUUUAAGAACCAAAUGAUAUCGUAUUCACCUAUUAAAGAGUGCAUUCUGUGUAAUUAUCAACAUAAAUGUGUCCUUCAAUGGUCAAAACCAAAUCAUAAAGGUACAAAGCACAAAAAAGAUAAACUUUUAUGAUACAAGUGUAAAAUUAAAAAUGCAAAAAUAGAAUCUCCCAAGUUCCCAAAUCCUAACGCACAGGCCAAGGGACCCCGAAAGGUGUGUUUAGGAGCCCCAGUGUGCAUCUUAGAGAU